This 431-nucleotide ribosomal RNA is filed under the name uncultured bacterium. Its description in RNAcentral is "partial 16S ribosomal RNA". It matches the Rfam family "Bacterial small subunit ribosomal RNA", at positions 29 to 507 of the family's 1533-position model. The record is from RNAcentral.
AACGAACGCUGGCGGCAGGCUUAACACAUGCAAGUCGAACGCCCCGCAAGGGGAGUGGCCGCCGGGUGAGUAACGCGUGGGAACAUACCCUUUCCUGCGGAAUAGCUCCGGGAAACUGGAAUUAAUACCGCAUACGCCCUACGGGGGAAAGAUUUAUCGGGGAAGGAUUGGCCCGCGUUGGAUUAGCUAGUUGGUGGGGUAAAGGCCUACCAAGGCGACGAUCCAUAGCUGGUCUGAGAGGAUGAUCAGCCACAUUGGGACUGAGACACGGCCCAAACUCCUACGGGAGGCAGCAGUGGGGAAUAUUGGACAAUGGGCGCAAGCCUGAUCCAGCCAUGCCGCGUGAGUGAUGAAGGCCUUAGGGUUGUAAAGCUCUUUCACCGAUGAAGAUAAUGACGGUAGUCGGAGAAGAAGCCCCGGCUAACUUCGUG